This 250-nucleotide ribosomal RNA is filed under the name uncultured prokaryote. RNAcentral describes it as "partial 16S ribosomal RNA". It matches the Rfam family "Bacterial small subunit ribosomal RNA", at positions 524 to 774 of the family's 1533-position model. The record is from RNAcentral.
UACGGAGGAUGCGAGCGUUAUUCGGAUUUAUUGGGUUUAAAGGGUGCGCAGGCGGGUGAUUAAGUCAGUGGUGAAAGCGUGUAGCUUAACUAUACCGAGCCAUUGAAACUGGUUAUCUUGAGUGUAAUUGCGGUAGGCGGAAUGUGAUUUGUAGCGGUGAAAUGCUUAGAUAUGUUUCAGAACUCCGAUUGCGAAGGCAGCUUACCAAGUUACAACUGACGCUCAGGCACGAGAGCGUGGGUAUCAAACA